UCUGACUUACCUGAAGAGUGAGGAAAGGGUUAAGCACCUGGGGGAGGGGGCUCAGGCAUUCAGCCAAUAAAAUGCAGAUGGGAAUUUCAAACCAAGAGAAAGGGGGUUUUCUUCCUCUUUUCUUUGUUUGAGAUCAGAGCAGUUUCUUCCAGGUAUGGAGGGAGACAGGCUUUCCCAAGAAUGGACUUCUUGAAAUGUGAGCAAAGAAAGCCUGAAUGUGACCAAAUAUAGUACUGUCUUACUGUACUACAGUCAGCUGACAGACAAAGACAUUGGCACGAAAUGAAGGAAUAUGUGUUAACAAGAGUUCUUAUAAACCAAUUACUUAAAAUAUAACACAUGGACUUACAGCUGCA
Non-coding RNA from Pelodiscus sinensis (Chinese soft-shelled turtle), 356 nucleotides. NCBI's taxonomy places the organism in Eukaryota, Metazoa, Chordata, Testudines, Trionychidae. The record is from RefSeq and is a predicted model, not a curated record.